Molecule: ribosomal RNA, 2771 nt
Filed under: Klebsiella pneumoniae
Lineage: Bacteria; Pseudomonadati; Pseudomonadota; Gammaproteobacteria; Enterobacterales; Enterobacteriaceae
Description: bacterial LSU rRNA
Rfam family: Bacterial large subunit ribosomal RNA
Source: RNAcentral
AGCGUACACGGUGGAUGCCCUGGCAGUCAGAGGCGAUGAAGGACGUGCUAAUCUGCGAAAAGCGUCGGUAAGGUGAUAUGAACCGUUAUAACCGGCGAUGUCCGAAUGGGGAAACCCAGUGUGAUUCGUCACACUAUCGUUAACUGAAUACAUAGGUUAACGAGGCGAACCGGGGGAACUGAAACAUCUAAGUACCCCGAGGAAAAGAAAUCAACCGAGAUUCCCCCAGUAGCGGCGAGCGAACGGGGAGCAGCCCAGAGUCUGAAUCAGCUUGUGUGUUAGUGGAACGGUCUGGAAAGUCCGACGGUACAGGGUGAUAGUCCCGUACACCAAAAUGCACAGGCUGUGAACUCGAAGAGUAGGGCGGGACACGUGGUAUCCUGUCUGAAUAUGGGGGGACCAUCCUCCAAGGCUAAAUACUCCUGACUGACCGAUAGUGAACCAGUACCGUGAGGGAAAGGCGAAAAGAACCCCGGCGAGGGGAGUGAAAAAGAACCUGAAACCGUGUACGUACAAGCAGUGGGAGCACCUUCGGGUGUGACUGCGUACCUUUUGUAUAAUGGGUCAGCGACUUAUAUUCUGUAGCAAGGUUAACCGUAUAGGGGAGCCGCAGGGAAACCGAGUCUUAACUGGGCGUUAAGUUGCAGGGUAUAGACCCGAAACCCGGUGAUCUAGCCAUGGGCAGGUUGAAGGUUGGGUAACACUAACUGGAGGACCGAACCGACUAAUGUUGAAAAAUUAGCGGAUGACUUGUGGCUGGGGGUGAAAGGCCAAUCAAACCGGGAGAUAGCUGGUUCUCCCCGAAAGCUAUUUAGGUAGCGCCUCGUGAAUUCAUCUUCGGGGGUAGAGCACUGUUUCGGCUAGGGGGUCAUCCCGACUUACCAACCCGAUGCAAACUACGAAUACCGAAGAAUGUUAUCACGGGAGACACACGGCGGGUGCUAACGUCCGUCGUGAAGAGGGAAACAACCCAGACCGCCAGCUAAGGUCCCAAAGUCAUGGUUAAGUGGGAAACGAUGUGGGAAGGCACAGACAGCCAGGAUGUUGGCUUAGAAGCAGCCAUCAUUUAAAGAAAGCGUAAUAGCUCACUGGUCGAGUCGGCCUGCGCGGAAGAUGUAACGGGGCUAAACCAUGCACCGAAGCUGCGGCAGCGACACUAUGUGUUGUUGGGUAGGGGAGCGUUCUGUAAGCCUGCGAAGGUGACCUGUGAGGGUUGCUGGAGGUAUCAGAAGUGCGAAUGCUGACAUAAGUAACGAUAAAGCGGGUGAAAAGCCCGCUCGCCGGAAGACCAAGGGUUCCUGUCCAACGUUAAUCGGGGCAGGGUGAGUCGACCCCUAAGGCGAGGCCGAAAGGCGUAGUCGAUGGGAAACAGGUUAAUAUUCCUGUACUUGGUGUUACUGCGAAGGGGGGACGGAGAAGGCUAUGUUAGCCGGGCGACGGUUGUCCCGGUUUAAGCAUGUAGGCUGGUUGUCCAGGCAAAUCCGGAUAAUCAAGGCUGAGGUGUGAUGACGAGGCACUACGGUGCUGAAGUAACAAAUGCCCUGCUUCCAGGAAAAGCCUCUAAGCAUCAGGUAACAUCAAAUCGUACCCCAAACCGACACAGGUGGUCAGGUAGAGAAUACCAAGGCGCUUGAGAGAACUCGGGUGAAGGAACUAGGCAAAAUGGUGCCGUAACUUCGGGAGAAGGCACGCUGGUGUGUAGGUGAAGUCCCUGCGGAUGGAGCUGAGACCAGUCGAAGAUACCAGCUGGCUGCAACUGUUUAUUAAAAACACAGCACUGUGCAAACACGAAAGUGGACGUAUACGGUGUGACGCCUGCCCGGUGCCGGAAGGUUAAUUGAUGGGGUUAUCCGUAAGGAGAAGCUCUUGAUCGAAGCCCCGGUAAACGGCGGCCGUAACUAUAACGGUCCUAAGGUAGCGAAAUUCCUUGUCGGGUAAGUUCCGACCUGCACGAAUGGCGUAAUGAUGGCCAGGCUGUCUCCACCCGAGACUCAGUGAAAUUGAACUCGCUGUGAAGAUGCAGUGUACCCGCGGCAAGACGGAAAGACCCCGUGAACCUUUACUAUAGCUUGACACUGAACAUUGAGCCUUGAUGUGUAGGAUAGGUGGGAGGCUUUGAAGCGUGGACGCCAGUCUGCGUGGAGCCAACCUUGAAAUACCACCCUUUAAUGUUUGAUGUUCUAACGUUGGCCCCUUACCGGGGUUGCGGACAGUGUCUGGUGGGUAGUUUGACUGGGGCGGUCUCCUCCCAAAGCGUAACGGAGGAGCACGAAGGUUAGCUAAUCCUGGUCGGACAUCAGGAGGUUAGUGCAAUGGCAUAAGCUAGCUUGACUGCGAGCGUGACGGCGCGAGCAGGUGCGAAAGCAGGUCAUAGUGAUCCGGUGGUUCUGAAUGGAAGGGCCAUCGCUCAACGGAUAAAAGGUACUCCGGGGAUAACAGGCUGAUACCGCCCAAGAGUUCAUAUCGACGGCGGUGUUUGGCACCUCGAUGUCGGCUCAUCACAUCCUGGGGCUGAAGUAGGUCCCAAGGGUAUGGCUGUUCGCCAUUUAAAGUGGUACGCGAGCUGGGUUUAGAACGUCGUGAGACAGUUCGGUCCCUAUCUGCCGUGGGCGCUGGAGAAUUGAGGGGGGCUGCUCCUAGUACGAGAGGACCGGAGUGGACGCAUCACUGGUGUUCGGGUUGUCAUGCCAAUGGCACUGCCCGGUAGCUAAAUGCGGAAGAGAUAAGUGCUGAAAGCAUCUAAGCACGAAACUUGCCCCGAGAUGAGUUCU